CAAUAAGCCAGUUGUUCCCUCUCAGACCCUCUCCCCUGUCUGGCCCUGGAAAUUCCUCUGCUUCCUCUGUCUGCACUGUCUAGCUGUCUUGCUUCCCUCUCUGGGAGGGCCCGGCAUAAUGCAUCCAAAAAAACCAAGGGUAGAAGUUGUUUUCCUGUAACUUCUGCUUCAGGAAAUGGCUGGCUACCUUCCGAAGAGGGAGAGAAAAUUACUUUCAGAAUAAAAGACAAAUUAACAUCUCGGUUAACUGGUUCAAUUCCGCUAACUGGAAGAAAGGAACUACCAGGGAUUAGACCUCAGCGUUCAAAGGAGAAGGGAAAAGAAGAUAUUUGCAAAGCAGCUGCCUGCACCUUGGUGCCAAGUCACUAGCCUAGAGCGACACCAUUGAAUUGGCUUCUGCUUCCAGCUCUAACCAGGCUUCGGAUUUGGAGCGGAGAUGAUGUACGGUCCUGUCUUUCAUUCUCUUCCCACUUCAGCACCUCUUUUGGAGUGGAGGUGGCGAGCUUCGUCUGGUUCGGGAGGGACCACCCCCUCCUCCUCCUUCUGAGCCUAUUCCAUCAGCGUUAAGACUGGCAGAGGAGACAGAGCCGCUGUUAGACCACAAGAUGCCUUCCUAAGAAUCGUCCCUUACUUGUAGAAAGCGCUCAAUAAAUAUGUGCAGAAUGAAUGAAUGAACAAGGACAUUUAAAAAUUAAUAAAUGAAUUUAUGAUCCUA
This 715-nucleotide long non-coding RNA is filed under the name Equus caballus (horse). RNAcentral's name for it is "lncRNA (ENSECAG00000045073.1)". The record is from RNAcentral. Lineage: Eukaryota; Metazoa; Chordata; Mammalia; Perissodactyla; Equidae.